GCCACUGGUUUGUAAAAACGAGAAUUACUCAUUAAAAGUGUGUCUUGCACAUUCAUCUGAGAAGAAGGAUCUUAAAAUCUACAAACCUUAAUUAACAGUUAUUUUUACAAUCUGAAAUUAUAGCCUCGCAAUAUUUCUCCCCGGUUGAGUUGUGUACAUUGACACACUGUAAUCACCAGCGCGCAGAUCCCGGGCACGAUGGGGUUAGCCCGAGUGACGCACACAGAGGUUUUAACACCGACGGGACUCUUUCUCCCCUUUUCAAUUUCAACUGGAAAGGGAAAGGAAAAGGGUCUUGCAGCUUGAUAACCUCAUCAGAACAGGAGUUGGGCACAGGGGUUAAUAACUAAAAACCCUCCCCGGCAGAGAGACACGAAGCCAGCAGGUAAUAUUAGAACCGCAGCUGCGGAGGUACUACAACACAGUGAAACCGCGCAGCACGGAUUCAUCAGGUCUUUUGGAUAGUUGAAGGAACGCACAAAGGUGAAAGAGGAAGAUGCUGUGGUGUCUGGUUGCUGUGCAGCUGUUCUUGGCACCAGCUCUCCUGCUGCCUAGUGGGGACUACUGGGAGGAAUGGAGUCCCUAUGGAGAAUGUAGCAGGAGCUGUGGCAGUGGGGUUACCAUGAGAACCAGGAGAUGUGUUACC
Molecule: long non-coding RNA, 646 nt
Organism: Oncorhynchus nerka (sockeye salmon)
Lineage: Eukaryota; Metazoa; Chordata; Actinopteri; Salmoniformes; Salmonidae
Exons: 3
Source: RefSeq, a predicted model, not a curated record